GAUCCGCCCAUCCUUGCGUCCAGUACACCAUCCCUGCUCAUCCUCAUCCUCUAGCUUCUCAAAGGUGUCCCCUGAAAGGAAAAGAAGAAAGGCAAUGUAGCAAAUUACAAUUGUGAUGAUGCAUCCUUGAUUUUUUGGGUCUUGUCAAAGAAAUGCAUAUACAAUAUCACAUGUUUGAAGGAAAGGAAGAGAGGAGAGGGUAAGUCCUAUUGGUCAGUAGACUGGCAAUUAAACUUGGAAAUACAACCAGCAAUGACAUCCUCCAAAUGCCACCCCUCCUGGUACAUGGCCCUAAUCCCUCAGUGGAAGAACCUGCUGCUAACUCACCGACUUUGAAAGAGAGCUCAUCUGACUCAACACCUUCGUAGUCAUAGAGCGCUCGAACUGGCACUCCAGGUUUGUUGGGAUCAACCAUGCGAUCGCUGUAGUCCCACUCAUCGUCAUCUCCACUCACUCCAUUGCUGUAAAAAGGGCAUGGAGAGAUACAUAAAGAGAGAACAAAACAGGGUAUAUUUUUGUCUUUUGGUUUUGCUAUGGUUGCCCAUCACUUUUAAGGGACUAGAUGAUCCCACAUGCAAACUUACUAUCUAAGUUCUCAUUAGAUUCACAAAAAGCCAUGGUGUGCAAAACAUAUAUAUCAAAAGCAUAAACUUUAUAUAGACGUAAUGAGUUAAAAAGCUCAUAAAGCUGAAA
Penaeus monodon (black tiger shrimp) is the source of this 693-nucleotide long non-coding RNA. RefSeq lists it as uncharacterized. The transcript is spliced from 2 exons. Lineage: Eukaryota; Metazoa; Arthropoda; Malacostraca; Decapoda; Penaeidae. The record is from RefSeq and is a predicted model, not a curated record.